This 801-nucleotide ribosomal RNA is filed under the name uncultured Rubrobacter sp. Its description in RNAcentral is "bacterial SSU rRNA". It matches the Rfam family "Bacterial small subunit ribosomal RNA", at positions 8 to 796 of the family's 1533-position model. The record is from RNAcentral. Lineage: Bacteria; Bacillati; Actinomycetota; Rubrobacteria; Rubrobacterales; Rubrobacteraceae.
AGAGUUUGAUCAUGGCUCAGGACGAACGCUGACGGUGUGCUUUAGGCAUGCAAGUCGAACGAGAAAGCCCUUCGGGGUGAGUACAGUGGCGAACGGGUGAGUAACACGUGGGCAACCUGCCCCUCGCAGGGGGACAACCGGAGGAAACUCCGGCUAAUACCCCGUACGCUCCACGCAUCGCAUGUUGUGUGGAGGAAAGGUAGCCUCGGCUAUCCGGCGAGGGAUGGGCCCGCGGUGCAUUAGCUAGUUGGUGGGGUAACGGCCCACCAAGGCGACGAUGCGUAGCUGGUCUGAGAGGAUGAUCAGCCACACUGGGACUGAGACACGGCCCAGACUCCUACGGGAGGCAGCAGCCAGGAAUCUUGGGCAAUGGGCGAAAGCCUGACCCAGCAACACCGUGUGGGUGAUGAAGGCCUUCGGGUCGUAAAGCCCUGUUGAUAGGGACGAAGGGCGAAGGGUUAAUAGCCCCUAGCUUGACGGUACCUUUCGAGGAAGCCCCGGCUAACUACGUGCCAGCAGCCGCGGUAAUACGUAGGGGGCGAGCGUUGUCCGGAAUUAUUGGGCGUAAAGAGCGUGUAGGCGGUUCGGUAAGUCUGUCGUGAAAUCCUGGGGCUCAACCCCGGGCGUGCGAUGGAUACUGCCGGGCUAGAGGGUGGUAGAGGCGAGUGGAAUUCCCGGUGUAGCGGUGAAAUGCGCAGAUAUCGGGAGGAACACCAGUAGCGAAGGCGGCUCGCUGGGCCACACCUGACGCUGAGACGCGAAAGCUAGGGGAGCGAACAGGAUUAGAUACCCCAGUAGUCC